GGAUAGGGUCAAAGGUGCCUUUGGGCAAUUAUAAUUACAGCAAGAAGACAUGUAUUAACAAGGAAACAAGGACGAAGAAAGGCGAAAGGAAAGUAAAAAACAAAAGUACGUAAUAAAAAUUCAAAGUACGGAAACAAAAGGUAUGUUUUAAUUAUUUAAAAAAAAAAAAUUAUAAAACUACUGGUUUUCUUCACCCGACAACUCGGAGAGAGUCUUGGGCCAGGCAGGAUGUUCCGUAGGGAUUCCAGUCGCUUUCCACUGCUCCCACAUCGGUGGGUUAAUAGGAACAACGGUGGACUCGUAUUCAGGGCUCCGAAGAUUCACCAUGUCCCGCCCAUGAAUCAUGCCUUCAACAAAAUUCUUGAAGCAGGCACGCUUGUUCCGUUCGGUCAUAUUCUUGGCGCAUUCAGUUAAUUUCACCGGCACGCGAGAUGUCCUCUUCCAUGGACGCAACCCGGACGGCCUUUUCGUCCCUCUCUGCCCUAAGGGACUCGAUCUCCACCCUAAGGGACUCGAUCUCAGCAUCCUUCAAAGUAAAUACGUUGGUCAAGAGAGUAACC
This 560-nucleotide long non-coding RNA is filed under the name Zostera marina. RNAcentral's name for it is "long non-coding RNA (ZMAR_LNC002262)". The record is from RNAcentral. Lineage: Eukaryota; Viridiplantae; Streptophyta; Magnoliopsida; Alismatales; Zosteraceae.